Molecule: long non-coding RNA, 465 nt
Organism: Formica exsecta
Lineage: Eukaryota; Metazoa; Arthropoda; Insecta; Hymenoptera; Formicidae
Exons: 3
Source: RefSeq, a predicted model, not a curated record
UGAAGUUCUAGAUGAAUCUAUAGAAAAGAGCAAUCAGCAAGUUACCUUUUUAUAUAUUCAACCAAAUGUUUUCGAAACCAAUUUUGGUGAUACAUUUUUUGAAUUGCUGAUUGACAAAGCAGAUGACAAUACAGAUUUAAAUAUUAAUUUUCCUGUAAACGAGAUUUUGGACACAUCUUUAAAUACUUUAAUAGCAGAAAUAAAUGACCAAGAUGAUGAAACGACAGAAAUAAUAAAUAACUCAGAUGGUAAUAUAUAAGGAUUUAAUUGUUUUUAUGUAAACUAGUGGUCAUGUGUCACAUAAUUUGUGUCAGAUACAAUGGAUGAUAUAUUUAUCAUUAAAUAAUUAUGUAUACUUUAUUUAUAAAUAAUACACACACAUCAAUGUAAUCAAAUUUUUCAGAUAUUACUUCUAAUUUAUCUGAAAAUAGAAAUCUACGCAUUUCUUUUGAAUCAGUUAUACAA